Molecule: ribosomal RNA, 440 nt
Filed under: uncultured bacterium
Lineage: Bacteria
Description: partial 16S ribosomal RNA
Rfam family: Bacterial small subunit ribosomal RNA
Source: RNAcentral
CCUACGCGAGGCAGCAGUAGGGAAUAUUGCUCAAUGGGGGAAACCCUGAAGCAGCAACGCCGCGUGGAGGAUGAAGGUUUUCGGAUUGUAAACUCCUUUUAUUAGAGAAGAUAAUGACGGUAUCUAACGAAUAAGCACCGGCUAAAUUCGUGCCAGCAGCCGCGGUAAUACGAAGGUUACAAGCGUUACUCGGAAUCAGUUGGAGUAAAGAACGCGUAUGCGGGAUAGCAAGUCAGAUGUGAAAUCCUAUGGCUUAACCAUAGAACUGCAUUUGAAACUGGUAUUCUAGAGUAUGGGAGAGGUAAGUGGAAUUCGUGGUGUAGGGGUAAAGUCCGUAGAGAUCAAGAGGAAUACUCAUUGCGAAGGCGACCUGAUAGAACAUAACUGACGCUGAUGCGCGAAAGCGUGGGGAGCAAACAGGAUGAGAUAACCGGGUAGUC